Molecule: ribosomal RNA, 253 nt
Filed under: uncultured bacterium
Lineage: Bacteria
Description: partial 16S ribosomal RNA
Rfam family: Bacterial small subunit ribosomal RNA
Source: RNAcentral
UACAGAGGUCCCAAGCGUUGUUCGGAUUCACUGGGCGUAAAGGGUGCGUAGGCGGUCGGGUAAGUCUGAUGUGAAAUCUCACAGCUUAACUGUGAAACUGCAUUGGAUACUAUCCGGCUAGAGGAAUGGAGGGGAGACUGGAAUACUUGGUGUAGCAGUGAAAUGCGUAGAUAUCAAGUGGAACACCAGUGGCGAAGGCGACUCUUUGGUCUGUAACUGACGCUGAGGCGCGAAAGCGUGGGGAGCAAACAGG